GGUAGUGUAGCUCAAUGGUAGAGUGAUUGAUUGGCAUGCGUAAGGCUCUGGGUUCAUUACCCAGUACUGCCC
This 72-nucleotide transfer RNA is filed under the name Marmota marmota marmota (Alpine marmot). It matches the Rfam family "tRNA". Rfam says of the family: Transfer RNA (tRNA) molecules are approximately 80 nucleotides in length. Their secondary structure includes four short double-helical elements and three loops (D, anti-codon, and T loops). Lineage: Eukaryota; Metazoa; Chordata; Mammalia; Rodentia; Sciuridae. RNAcentral also lists the same sequence under 2 other names. The record is from Rfam by way of RNAcentral.